Frieseomelitta varia is the source of this 2347-nucleotide long non-coding RNA. RefSeq lists it as uncharacterized. The transcript is spliced from 2 exons. NCBI's taxonomy places the organism in Eukaryota, Metazoa, Arthropoda, Insecta, Hymenoptera, Apidae. The record is from RefSeq and is a predicted model, not a curated record.
AUUAGCCCACGGACUUUGACUUGCAGCGGCGUAGCUGUAAAACAACGUGUAAGUGAACGGUGCGCUCCGCUUCUUUCGCGUUUAUAAGCGACGCUGAACUCGAUCGGGCCCGACAGCCGGGUAACUGUGCAAUCUGCCGCGCUCACCUGGAACUGUUCGCGUUCGACUCACGAUCGAAUACCUGGCUUUUUGGUAAUUAUCGAACGAUCGAACGUAUACGAGAACGAGAAGUGUGAACAGUUGGUUUCUAUUUAAGAAAAUGCAUUUUCUUCUGUUAACUUGAUUAACACGAUCCGCGAAGAAUCGUUGGUCUUUCUGUUACUCUUAAACAUUACAAGACAAUUGUAUCAAGACUUUUCUCACUCAUUUUCCCUAUAUUUAAUUAUUGUUUCAUUAUCGAUCAAUGAUCGGGAGAAACUGCUCGGUGGGAGUUCUCAUCGAAAAUUCGCUGUUGAGGCGCCGUGAAAUCGAGCGAAUUCGAUUCUGCAAUAACAUUAUUGCUCGCUUCGAUGUUCACAGUUCCCCGCUCUCGACGAUAUCGCAACGAUUGGCUAAAAAAUGUUAAAGGGGUAUUGUUGUAAAAAGCGAGGCAACCUCGACGACCGCAGAAAUGAAACCGAAUCGAAUUAGCCGGUUAAGAUAUAUGCGCAGAUAUUUGUGCGUGUACACGCAGCACGUGUGUAACUGUAAAUUCGACGACGUGCUAUAUAUAUGUAUAUGUAUAUAUAUAUAUAUAUAUAUAUAUAUAUAUAUAUGUACUCGGUUACUCGUGUUAGUUCCAAGCGACUCGCGAUAUCUCGUCGCCUUUCACUCGGCUAUACUUCGCGCCAUCGUGCAGCCACGAGUUGCGCAACGAUAUGUUAGUUCUCUUGCAUUGCAAAACGAAUGUGUAGAUAUAUAAUACGUGUAUAUACAUAAUAUAUACAUGGCAUAUAACAUGGCCGUGUAUGAUCGUUACCGUUGCAUUGUCUUCUUUCUCGUGACAUUCCCAUUUAAUCUCGAUAGAUAUUAUUAUAGUAUAUUAGACACGAUGUGCCGGAUGAAAUGGAAGGAUUUAUGAUAAAAUUUUACGGCGACCGGAUUGUGCGUCUAUUAAUUAAAAAGAUAGAGAACUCGGAUGAAAUUAAUCGAAAUAAAAUUUGAAAAAAGUUGGAAGCUCGAAAUCAAAUGAAAGUUCGAAGAUACAAAACUUCAUACGAAACUAAACAUAAAAGUUUAAAUGAAAUUAAAUCUAACAAAUCAAGUAAGUCAAUUUCUGCUUGAAUAUAGACAGAAUCUCAUGGGACACACUUGUUUCGAUCAAACAAAAUGUCCAAAAUACAAAAAUUCAAAUAAAAUUGACACUCAAAUUAUGGUCCGUGCUUAGACCGACUACUUAUAGAAUCCUUGACGGAGCACAAAUUUCGUUUCAUCAAAUGUCCCAAGCACAAACCAUAAUUUGGUUAAUUUCAUUCGAAUUUUUUUUUAUAUUUCCGACACCUCCACUGGAGAAUCUCCUUGACACCGCGUGCGGCAAGAAAAGAGAAGAGAAGAGAAGAGAAUUCUUUCACGGACGACGGGGCAGAACGUGGCGGUGCGAAGCGCGGUGCCAGAAACAAGGGUGACAUAAUCGCCGCGCGAUCGAUGUGUACUCGCCUUAUCGAGUGUCGGAAAUACCGUUCAUGGGGUCGUCGUCGACGUUAAGGAUUUGCCCCAAUUGUGUCUCGGCCAGUCACGAUUCCCUCUUGUUCACCGGUGAUGAAAUUUUCGAUGUCGAUUGCCCCAUUUGGAUAAAGAUUCGGAUUGUCAGCGUCGAUAAGUCUCGACGAUCGGCCACGUCCUAAAUUAUAUUUCACCGCUUGUCGUGGCGCUUGAUGUAUCGACUAGGCACAUUUUCUCUGCUUGAUAGUCUAAUUUCCUACCUUUCAGUUCGACGCAACGAAGCUUUCAGAAAUUAUGAGGCUUAUACCGUACUCUAGAAACAGUCUGUGGUUACGAGACAUUUCGUAACCAUGAAAAACGGAAACGCUGGUAGCAGCUGACAUUUCAUACCUGAUAAGUUACUUUGUAAAACCGUUGUAUCGUGAUUUACCAACUAAUAACAUUAACUGUAAGGUAACAGACUUUGUUUCACCUUUAUGCUAGGCACUUGAAACUCUUCUUUCGUUUCCCCUCCUCGUUUGUUGAAAUAAGAUCCAUUUGUCAUUUGCUUUCUGCUUGAAAAACAAGUUCAUUUGUCGGGGAAGUAAAAUACAAAAAUCCAAGAAUAAGAGCAGUAAAUUUAAUCUUCUCGUCGACUAAUUGUUCUCAUACUUCUCGAGGUUGUAACUCAAAAAAAAAAAAAAAAAAAAAAAAAAAAAAAUCACCA